UACGUAGGUCCCGAGCGUUGUCCGGAUUUAUUGGGCGUAAAGCGAGCGCAGGUGGUUUAUUAAGUCUGGUGUAAAAGGCAGUGGCUCAACCAUUGUAUGCAUCGAAAACUGGUAGACUUGAGUGCAGGAGAAGAGAGUGGAAUUCCAUGUGUAGCGGUGAAAUGCGUAGAUAUAUGGAGGAACACCGGUAGCGAAAGCGGCUCUCUGGCCUGUAACUGACACUGAGGCUCGAAAGCGUGGGGAGCAAACAGG
RNAcentral lists this ribosomal RNA (252 nucleotides) under uncultured bacterium. Its description in RNAcentral is "partial 16S ribosomal RNA". It matches the Rfam family "Bacterial small subunit ribosomal RNA", at positions 524 to 776 of the family's 1533-position model. The record is from RNAcentral.